RNAcentral lists this ribosomal RNA (250 nucleotides) under uncultured delta proteobacterium. RNAcentral describes it as "partial 16S ribosomal RNA". It matches the Rfam family "Bacterial small subunit ribosomal RNA", at positions 524 to 773 of the family's 1533-position model. The record is from RNAcentral. Lineage: Bacteria; Deltaproteobacteria.
GACAGAGGGUGCAAACGUUGUUCGGAAUUACUGGGCGUAAAGCGCGUGUAGGCGGCUGCGCAAGUCGGGUGUGAAAGCCCUGGGCUCAACCCAGGAAGUGCACUCGAAACUGCGUAGCUGGAGUCUCGGAGAGGGAGGCGGAAUUCUGGGUGUAGAGGUGAAAUUCGUAGAUAUCCAGAGGAACACCGGUGGCGAAGGCGGCCUCCUGGACGAGAACUGACGCUGAGACGCGAAAGCGUGGGGAGCAAAC